GGGUUGUGAGGUUAAGCGACUAAGCGUACACGGUGGAUGCCCUGGCAGUCAGAGGCGAUGAAGGACGUGCUAAUCUGCGAUAAGCGUCGGUAAGGUGAUAUGAACCGUUAUAACCGGCGAUUUCCGAAUGGGGAAACCCAGUGUGAUUCGUCACACUAUCAUUAACUGAAUCCAUAGGUUAAUGAGGCGAACCGGGGGAACUGAAACAUCUAAGUACCCCGAGGAAAAGAAAUCAACCGAGAUUCCCCCAGUAGCGGCGAGCGAACGGGGAGGAGCCCAGAGCCUGAAUCAGUGUGUGUGUUAGUGGAAGCGUCUGGAAAGGCGCGCGAUACAGGGUGACAGCCCCGUACACAAAAAUGCACAUACUGUGAGCUCGAUGAGUAGGGCGGGACACGUGGUAUCCUGUCUGAAUAUGGGGGGACCAUCCUCCAAGGCUAAAUACUCCUGACUGACCGAUAGUGAACCAGUACCGUGAGGGAAAGGCGAAAAGAACCCCGGCGAGGGGAGUGAAAAAGAACCUGAAACCGUGUACGUACAAGCAGUGGGAGCCUCUUUUAUGGGGUGACUGCGUACCUUUUGUAUAAUGGGUCAGCGACUUAUAUUCUGUAGCAAGGUUAACCGAAUAGGGGAGCCGAAGGGAAACCGAGUCUUAACUGGGCGUUAAGUUGCAGGGUAUAGACCCGAAACCCGGUGAUCUAGCCAUGGGCAGGUUGAAGGUUGGGUAACACUAACUGGAGGACCGAACCGACUAAUGUUGAAAAAUUAGCGGAUGACUUGUGGCUGGGGGUGAAAGGCCAAUCAAACCGGGAGAUAGCUGGUUCUCCCCGAAAGCUAUUUAGGUAGCGCCUCGUGAAUUCAUCUCCGGGGGUAGAGCACUGUUUCGGCAAGGGGGUCAUCCCGACUUACCAACCCGAUGCAAACUGCGAAUACCGGAGAAUGUUAUCACGGGAGACACACGGCGGGUGCUAACGUCCGUCGUGAAGAGGGAAACAACCCAGACCGCCAGCUAAGGUCCCAAAGUCAUGGUUAAGUGGGAAACGAUGUGGGAAGGCCCAGACAGCCAGGAUGUUGGCUUAGAAGCAGCCAUCAUUUAAAGAAAGCGUAAUAGCUCACUGGUCGAGUCGGCCUGCGCGGAAGAUGUAACGGGGCUAAACCAUGCACCGAAGCUGCGGCAGCGACGCUUAUGUGUUGUUGGGUAGGGGAGCGUUCUGUAAGCCUGUGAAGGUGUACUGUGAGGUAUGCUGGAGGUAUCAGAAGUGCGAAUGCUGACAUAAGUAACGAUAAAGCGGGUGAAAAGCCCGCUCGCCGGAAGACCAAGGGUUCCUGUCCAACGUUAAUCGGGGCAGGGUGAGUCGACCCCUAAGGCGAGGCCGAAAGGCGUAGUCGAUGGGAAACAGGUUAAUAUUCCUGUACUUGGUGUUACUGCGAAGGGGGGACGGAGAAGGCUAUGUUGGCCGGGCGACGGUUGUCCCGGUUUAAGCGUGUAGGCUGGUUUUCCAGGCAAAUCCGGAAAAUCAAGGCUGAGGCGUGAUGACGAGGCACUACGGUGCUGAAGCAACAAAUGCCCUGCUUCCAGGAAAAGCCUCUAAGCAUCAGGUAACAUUAAAUCGUACCCCAAACCGACACAGGUGGUCAGGUAGAGAAUACCAAGGCGCUUGAGAGAACUCGGGUGAAGGAACUAGGCAAAAUGGUGCCGUAACUUCGGGAGAAGGCACGCUGAUAUGUAGGUGAAGCGACUUGCUCGUGGAGCUGAAAUCAGUCGAAGAUACCAGCUGGCUGCAACUGUUUAUUAAAAACACAGCACUGUGCAAACACGAAAGUGGACGUAUACGGUGUGACGCCUGCCCGGUGCCGGAAGGUUAAUUGAUGGGGUUAGCGGUAACGCGAAGCUCUUGAUCGAAGCCCCGGUAAACGGCGGCCGUAACUAUAACGGUCCUAAGGUAGCGAAAUUCCUUGUCGGGUAAGUUCCGACCUGCACGAAUGGCGUAAUGAUGGCCAGGCUGUCUCCACCCGAGACUCAGUGAAAUUGAACUCGCUGUGAAGAUGCAGUGUACCCGCGGCAAGACGGAAAGACCCCGUGAACCUUUACUAUAGCUUGACACUGAACAUUGAGCCUUGAUGUGUAGGAUAGGUGGGAGGCUUUGAAGUGUGGACGCCAGUCUGCAUGGAGCCGGCCUUGAAAUACCACCCUUUAAUGUUUGAUGUUCUAACGUUGGCCCCUGACCGGGGUUGCGGACAGUGUCUGGUGGGUAGUUUGACUGGGGCGGUCUCCUCCUAAAGAGUAACGGAGGAGCACGAAGGUUGGCUAAUCCUGGUCGGACAUCAGGAGGUUAGUGCAAUGGCAUAAGCCAGCUUGACUGCGAGCGUGACGGCGCGAGCAGGUGCGAAAGCAGGUCAUAGUGAUCCGGUGGUUCUGAAUGGAAGGGCCAUCGCUCAACGGAUAAAAGGUACUCCGGGGAUAACAGGCUGAUACCGCCCAAGAGUUCAUAUCGACGGCGGUGUUUGGCACCUCGAUGUCGGCUCAUCACAUCCUGGGGCUGAAGUAGGUCCCAAGGGUAUGGCUGUUCGCCAUUUAAAGUGGUACGCGAGCUGGGUUUAGAACGUCGUGAGACAGUUCGGUCCCUAUCUGCCGUGGGCGCUGGAGAACUGAGGGGGGCUGCUCCUAGUACGAGAGGACCGGAGUGGACGCAUCACUGGUGUUCGGGUUGUCAUGCCAAUGGCACUGCCCGGUAGCUAAAUGCGGAAGAGAUAAGUGCUGAAAGCAUCUAAGCACGAAACUUGCCCCGAGAUGAGUUCUCCCUGACUCCUUGAGAGUCCUGAAGGAACGUUGAAGACGACGACGUUGAUAGGCCGGGUGUGUAAG
RNAcentral lists this ribosomal RNA (2863 nucleotides) under Escherichia coli. Its description in RNAcentral is "partial 23S ribosomal RNA". It matches the Rfam family "Bacterial large subunit ribosomal RNA". The record is from RNAcentral. Lineage: Bacteria; Pseudomonadati; Pseudomonadota; Gammaproteobacteria; Enterobacterales; Enterobacteriaceae.